This 1101-nucleotide long non-coding RNA is filed under the name Sus scrofa (pig). RNAcentral describes it as "lncRNA (ENSSSCG00070026646.1)". The record is from RNAcentral. Lineage: Eukaryota; Metazoa; Chordata; Mammalia; Artiodactyla; Suidae.
GGCUGGGCUGGGGCAGAGAGUUUCCUGAGGUGGGUCAGGGGACUGGAAACCAUGAGGCCUGAGCCCCGGGGGAGUGGUCACCAGGCAAAGGCCCGACAGGCCCUGGAAAGAGGCGAGGACAGGAGCAGGACGGCCACCGGCCAAGUGGGGCGAGGCACAACAGGCCGUCCUUCCUCCUCUGAGCUCCGGCUUCCCACACUGUGAGAGGCCCAAGGCCCCUCGUGGAGCAAAGCUAUGGGGGGUGAAGGUGGGAGCUGCCGUGAUGGUCCUUGUGCGGCAGGGAAGUUGACUGGGGGGGUGGGAACCCCCGAAGGCAAUGGGCCCUGCCUAGAGUCCUGAGAUGUGAGCGUCCCCAGGCCUGCAGACCAGGUUCUGGGACCUCCGCAGACGGCACAGAGGCUGGGACCUGACCUUGGCCUCUAUGGAGGGGGUCCCGGGGGUCGUGGGUGGAAUCAGAGUGUGUGGGAAGGAAGGUGACUGCGCUGUCCCCCAACCGCCCUGCAGGGGUGAGCUCUGAGACCUUCCUUGAGAAGAUGGUGGCAGGAGAGGUGCCCUCAAUUGCCAUCAGCCUGAAGGUGGCUUAUCCAUGUCUAAAAAUAGUGGCUACGGGCUCUGCAGUGUGGCCUGCUGCGAUAAUAGCAGUUGUCGGGAUCGCUGGGGUCGCCGGGGUCAUCUUAUAUCAAAAAAAGAUGAAAACGCACAAUAAAAUGGAAUAGAAAAUCCAUUGACAAGAAUCAUCUCCAAGCCCUGGACAGACAGGAGAGCCAGAUGUGGGGACAGAUGUGCUGUGAGGACAUGUGUGACAAUUUGGAUCCUUCGAGGCCCAGCUGCGACCCUACCAGCCCCCACCUGGCCCGUCCGUGAGACUUGGACCAGCACCUGCGGGAGUCCAGGGGUACUUGCGGCAGCAGCUUUAGAGCAAGAGGAGGGAGGCCAAGGAGAGGGCUGUCAGGGGAGUGGCCAUCACGAGAGGACGUUGUCUGCAAACAGGCGGACGAGCAGCCAGAAAAUAGGGGCGGCCGGAGGGAGGGGUCCGCGCGGCGGGGGAGGGUCGCGGGGGGCGAGGGCCGGGGGCGCCCUGCGGGAGGGGCGUCAGCUCCG